UUCCGGUUGAUCCUGCCGGACCUGACUGCUAUCGGAUUGAUACUAAGCCAUGCGAGUCUUUGUAGUAAUGCAAGGCAGACGGCUCAGUAACACGUAGUCAACCUACCCUAUGGAUGAGAAUAAUCUCGGGAAACUGAGGAUAAUACUCAAUAGACCAUAAUUCCUGGAAUGGUUUAUGGUUAAAUUGAUUCGUCGCCAUAGGAUGGGACCGCGACCUAUCAGCUUGUUGGUGAGGUAAUGGCCCACCAAGGCGAUUACAGGUACGGACUCUGAGAGGAGAAGCCCGGAGAUGGGUACUGAGACAAGGACCCAGGCCCUAUGGGGCGCAGCAGGCGAGAAAACUUUGCAAUGUGCGAAAGCACGACGAGGUUAAUCCGAGUGAUUUCUGCUAAAGAGAUCUUUUGUUAGUCAUAAAACCACUGAUGAAUAAGGGGUGGGCAAGUUCUGGUGUCAGCCGCCGCGGUAAAACCAGCACCUCAAGUGGUCAGGAGAAUUAUUGGGCCUAAAGCAUCCGUAGCCGGUUCUCUAAGUUUUUGGUUAAAUCCAUAUGCUCAACAUAUGGGCUGUCGGAAAUACUGCAGAGCUAGGGAAUGGGAGAGGUAGACGGUACUCGGUAGGAAGGGGUAAAAUCCUUUGAUCUAUUGAUGACCACCUGUGGCGAAGGCGGUCUACCAGAACAUGUUCGACGGUGAGGGAUGAAAGCUGGGGGAGCAAACCGGAUUAGAUACCCGGGUAGUCCCAGCUGUAAACGAUGCAGACUAGAUGAUGCAUUAGCAUAUAGCUAGUGCAGUGUCUCAGGGAAGCCGUU
RNAcentral lists this ribosomal RNA (808 nucleotides) under uncultured archaeon. Its description in RNAcentral is "bacterial SSU rRNA". It matches the Rfam family "Archaeal small subunit ribosomal RNA", at positions 1 to 816 of the family's 1478-position model. The record is from RNAcentral.